GAUCAUGGCUCAGGACGAACGCUGGCGGCGCGCCUAACACAUGCAAGUCGAACGGAGUUUACAGACGGAAGUUUUCGGAUGGAAGCUUGUAAACUUAGUGGCGGACGGGUGAGUAACACGUGAGCAACCUGCCUAUCAGAGGGGGAUAACGAUUGGAAACGAUCGCUAAUACCGCAUUACAUAGCGGAACCGCAUGGUUCUGUUAUCAAGAUUUAUCGCUGAUAGAUGGGCUCGCGUCCGA
RNAcentral lists this ribosomal RNA (241 nucleotides) under uncultured bacterium. RNAcentral describes it as "partial 16S ribosomal RNA". It matches the Rfam family "Bacterial small subunit ribosomal RNA", at positions 15 to 240 of the family's 1533-position model. The record is from RNAcentral.